UCCUCGCCGGGGUGGGGGUCGUUACCGAAGGGGGAACUCCUGGAAAUUCUAACUUUUGUCAGUUCGCGCCCCGCACCGACGUCCUGCGGUCUUUUCGAUUGCUCUGAUUGCCUCGAGGGGAAACUGAGGCCAGUUAGUCCGGGCACUUAACCGCAGGUGAUAAAGGACUGGGUUGUGAUGGGGACGCCUGUUAUGCCCUCAAGGGCCUGUAGAGUCUGGGAGGCCGCCUUCCGACCUGAGCUCAAAAAGCACGUUUGGGCUCACAGCGGGGCUGCCAGAGGUGAAAACAGCCAACGCUUUCAACGAUGCUGUAAGGGGCACUUCGUGUGUCAUCCCGUCUCAUCCUCGGUUGAUGGGGCCCUAAGCCAAUCAGAAUGCUGAUUAAAGGAUUGUUAAGGUUUCACCUGGAUACCCCAUCGAAACCAGACUUCCUGCAAAUGGUAAAAACCUCACAGCAGCAGAACUGUUCGGGGAAAUUGCAAACAGCUAAAUACCCCUCACCAGGAGCUGGUUCCUUAUAGCAACUCUGAGACUUCUACUGCAGGCUUUUAA
Saimiri boliviensis boliviensis (Bolivian squirrel monkey) is the source of this 552-nucleotide long non-coding RNA. RefSeq lists it as uncharacterized. The record is from RefSeq and is a predicted model, not a curated record. Lineage: Eukaryota; Metazoa; Chordata; Mammalia; Primates; Cebidae.